UAUUUGUAAAUUAUGGUGGAAAAUAAGUAUUUGGUCAAUAACAAAAGAGGUUUUGUCUUAAAAUUUCACGAUACAUGGCUCCAUUGAUUCUUCCCUUAACACAGAUCAGUCGUCCUGUCCCCUUUGCAGAAAAACAG
Molecule: long non-coding RNA, 137 nt
Organism: Thalassophryne amazonica
Lineage: Eukaryota; Metazoa; Chordata; Actinopteri; Batrachoidiformes; Batrachoididae
Exons: 2
Source: RefSeq, a predicted model, not a curated record